RNAcentral lists this ribosomal RNA (468 nucleotides) under uncultured bacterium. RNAcentral describes it as "partial 16S ribosomal RNA". It matches the Rfam family "Bacterial small subunit ribosomal RNA", at positions 28 to 507 of the family's 1533-position model. The record is from RNAcentral.
GACGCACGCUGGCGGCGUGCUUAACACAUGCAAGUCGAACGGAAAGGCCCUGCUUUUGUGGGGUGCUCGAGUGGCGAACGGGUGAGUAACACGUGAGUAACCUGCCCUUGACUUUGGGAUAACUUCAGGAAACUGGGGCUAAUACCGGAUAGGAGCUCCUGCUGCAUGGUGGGGGUUGGAAAGUUUCGGCGGUUGGGGAUGGACUCGCGGCUUAUCAGCUUGUUGGUGGGGUAGUGGCUUACCAAGGCUUUGACGGGUAGCCGGCCUGAGAGGGUGACCGGCCACAUUGGGACUGAGAUACGGCCCAGACUCCUACGGGAGGCAGCAGUGGGGAAUAUUGCACAAUGGGCGGAAGCCUGAUGCAGCAACGCCGCGUGCGGUAUGACGGCCUUCGGGUUGUAAACCGCUUUCGCCUGUGACGAAGCGUGAGUGACGGUAAUGGGUAAAGAAGCACCGGCUAACUACGUG